GAUGAACGCUGGCGGCGUGCCUAAUACAUGCAAGUCGAGCGAACAGACGAGGAGCUUGCUCCUCUGACGUUAGCGGCGGACGGGUGAGUAACACGUGGAUAACCUACCUAUAAGACUGGGAUAACUUCGGGAAACCGGAGCUAAUACCGGAUAAUAUCUUGAACCGCAUGGUUCAAUAGUGAAAGACGGUUUUGCUGUCACUUAUAGAUGGAUCCGCGCCGCAUUAGCUAGUUGGUAAGGUAACAGCUUACCAAGGCAACGAUGCGUAGCCGACCUGAGAGGGUGAUCGGCCACACUGGAACUGAGACACGGUCCAGACUCCUACGGGAGGCAGCAGUAGGGAAUCUGCCGCAAUGGGCGAAAGCCUGACGGAGCAACGCCGCGUGAGUGAUGAAGGUCUUCGGAUCGUAAAACUCUGUUAUUAGGGAAGAACAAAUGUGUAAGUAACUAUGCACGUCUUGACGGUACCUAAUCAGAAAGCCACGGCUAACUACGUG
This 497-nucleotide ribosomal RNA is filed under the name uncultured bacterium. RNAcentral's name for it is "partial 16S ribosomal RNA". It matches the Rfam family "Bacterial small subunit ribosomal RNA", at positions 28 to 507 of the family's 1533-position model. The record is from RNAcentral.